GGGGGGAGGCCGGAUCCUUGGCUGUGUCCCCGGCGCCCUGGGCUCCCGGGCCUGCGCUGUUGGAAUCGCGCUCCGGGCCGCGCAGCCCGCU
Molecule: microRNA precursor, 91 nt
Filed under: Canis lupus familiaris (dog)
Lineage: Eukaryota; Metazoa; Chordata; Mammalia; Carnivora; Canidae
Also listed under: 1 other name
Description: mir-8799 microRNA precursor family
Rfam family: mir-8799 microRNA precursor family
Source: Rfam by way of RNAcentral